RNAcentral lists this ribosomal RNA (119 nucleotides) under Triticum aestivum (bread wheat). The record is from RNAcentral. Lineage: Eukaryota; Viridiplantae; Streptophyta; Magnoliopsida; Poales; Poaceae.
GGAUGUGAUCAUACCAGCACUAAAGCACCGGAUCCCAUCAGAACUCCGAAGUUAAGCGUGCUUGGGCGAGAGUAGUACUAGGAUGGGUGACCUCCCGGGAAGUCCUCGUGUUGCAUUCC